This 3844-nucleotide long non-coding RNA is filed under the name Mus musculus (house mouse). Its description in RNAcentral is "long non-coding RNA chr11:93326403-93330247". The record is from RNAcentral. Lineage: Eukaryota; Metazoa; Chordata; Mammalia; Rodentia; Muridae.
AUUUGUACAUGGCUGAGUCUGUCUGUGGGUUUGUGUACAUGAGUAAAAUGUUCAUGGAAACCAGAAGAGUGCAUUGGAUCCCCAAGAGCUGUAGUUAUAGGUGGUUAGGAGUUACCUAACCUGAGUGCUAGGAAUUUAGCUCAGGCCCUAUACAAGAGCCUAGUGCACUCUUUCCCACAGAGCUAUCACUUCAGCUCCUACAACUUACUUUUAUUUCAUUCCAGAGAAGUAGCUGACCCUGUAACUCAUACCAAGCAAGGUUACUAAGAAUCAUUGGCUUCCAAUUUGAAGCCAUUAUUAUUCAUGCUAUCAGUGACGCCUUUUUUUAAAUCCAUACAGUUGCCAAGAAUAUUGUGUCUGAAGACUUUACAGAAUGCAUUCUUUGUAAUACUUAUACUCCUUAGUCUUGAUGUAAUACAGAAACUCAUGUAAAUUAAUCAUGUAAUUGCUCAUGUACCCCAUAAUACCACAUGAAAUCACGGUUAAUGGAUGGUGUUUCUUUUAUUUGACAUAUGGCGAUUGCCAAUUAAAUAUGCAUUAACGUUGUUUGCAGAUACACUAUAAACAUUUAUUAUAUUAUUUGGAUACAUUAUCAAACCAGGAGUAUCCAGCGAUCCAGAUUUUCAAAUUACAACUUCUAUAGUGUUCCACAGAAAAUGAGAACUAGGUCAUUCAGAUUUUUUGCAGAAUUUACAGAGACAUUUCUAUCUAUAUAAUAAGUGGAGUUUAACUGUGGAUGAGUUAGACACCUACUUCAGUUUCCAAGGUUCUUUUAUUCAUCCAUUUAUAUUUUCUCUCUGUCUUUUGAGCUUCUUCUAGAUUGUUCUUAUGCAUCAUUUCAGUCAAUACUCUCAGCCUCCAUCCUUCCCACAUUCAUCUUGAGCCAAAAGCUUAUGGAAUAUCUGUUUGAAUACAGAAGGGUUCUUGUGACAUGACAGCAAAGGGCUAGUGAUGCUAUGUAGAAUAAGCUCCCUCUACAACGCUUACUUCAACUUGCUUAUAAUUCUUCCCUGGAUCUGUUACUAUCCCAGGAUUCGUUAAUUUUCCGAAUUAAGCAAAAGCAAGGAUUUCUGUAAACCCUAGAAGCCAUGUGUAGGAAUAAAUGUAAAAAAAAAAUGAGCAAUUAUAAUUCAUUAAUUAAAUUUGGACAUUUAAAUUACAUUCGUGAUCAUUCUCUGAUUUAAUCUUCACGUCAACUUUGUGAGAUAGGGAAGACAGGCUCUUAGCCAGAUACUGUCACCAUGAUGAUAGUCAGCAACUAACUACAAAACUCUGAUGGUAUGAAAUGUGAACAUGCUUUGAGUCUUGCCUGUGAGUCCUCGGGUCUGCUGUGACAGGUAUGACUUCAUUUUCAGAGCAGGUCUUUUGCAUUCUGAGGCCUGGGAUGAAGGGGCAGAGCUACCUAUUGCCUGUUCUGUUGGCUGAGAUCAAAAGUUUUCAGAAGAGAACGUGGAAACAUGUAAGCCUCAGUCACAUGACCACAUCUCCCUGGUCAACAUGCACAUCAAGCUGUGACUUCCAUCCUCAUUCUUCCCGAAGCUCAAACUGACCUUGAGAACUUAGUAGAAAACCUUUCAAAGUUAAUGCAAAAGACUUUGAAAGAUAGUAACUAUUAAACCAAAAUCUGAACCCUCCCCCGAUAAUAAAUACCUUUAAGCUCAGUUUGCUUUAAGAAGCUCAAAUUUAUGCGAAUGGCAUGUGUUUGUUCUUAGCAUUUAGUGCAGGAUGAUGUGUGUAGGUUUCCUAAAGUAGUUCUAGAAGCAAUAGCUUUAACUCCAAACCUAAAGACUUAGAGAAAACCCUUUCAAGUCUAGACAAAAGAUGUGCUUCCCCUACAUGAAAACUCUACUGUCCACUCCCUUUCUAGUGUCUAGACAUUUAUAGCCGCUCUUUAACUUAUGAUAAAACUGGAAGACCUUUGUGACAUGCUGAAUUUCUCUCCAGAUCCCAUCAUCCCAUGUUAGUCCAUCCUGAUUUGACUUUAAUCACUUUUGCCCUUCGCUGUAGCUCUUACACACAAUAGAUACCAUGUUGUGUGUUCUUCUGUUGUUAGCCAAAUUAAGACAUUUAUGGAGUGAGACAGGGUGGAAGAAAGAACAAAACAAAUAAUUUUAAAAAGCUGUAUGCUCUCGGGAGCACCUGCUUAAGAAAGGAAUCAGCUCCUCUCUUGCUCUGCCAUUUUUAUUAAUUACCAUUGGUACAUGGAUGUUCUCUUUAUAAUCAAAAUUGAAUUACAUCUUUGGAGAUUAAGUUUCCUAAAAGAGCUUAAGGGCAGGAUCAGAGGGGAUUCACAUCGUCUCUAAUGCUCCCUUUUGACACUGUCCCCAUCUCUAAAUCUCUCCCCAUGCCUGAGUCUAGCCUGAACCCACAAAAGGGCAUGAGCCCCCUCCUUCUGCUCUUAAUUCCCAUCAUUGUAUAUCUCAGAAUGGGCCUGGUUUAAACAGCUCCAGUCACCCAGAUUUCAACAACAAUACAACUACUAUAGGCAGGAGCAAAGAGAUAAAGCAAAGGCGUAGUGAACGUUUUAUUUGGGUGGCUACUAUUUCAUAUUUUUAAGUGGAAUACUCUUUGAAUUGGAGGUGGCAGUAGGCUGUGUCUUUAUUAUUGAAAAGCUUUUGCCAGAGCUAGAAUGAUGGCUCAGUCAAUAAAACACUGGCCUCAAAAGCACGAGGACCUGAUUUUUAGAUCCCUAACACAGUAUAAAAAGCCAACUGUGGUGACACAAGCUUGUCAAGCCAGAGAUGGCAAGAUGGCAGCCAGAAACAGGCACAUGCUGAAGCUCACUUGCCAGGUUCCUUGGGAUAGUUGAUGAAGUUCCAGGCAAAUUAGAGCAUCUGCCUCAAACAAAAGGUGUAAGGUACCAACAUCCAUCAUUGUCCUUUGGUCUCCGCAUUUGAACACCCAAACAUGAACAGCACAUACAUGUGUGUCGCGCACGCAUGUCCCCCCCCCCACACACACACACUAUGUUAAAUAUAAAAAUCAGUGAAGCACAGAUGGAUUAGGGGCUCUGGAUUGUCCUGUGGGCUACUGAGGAAAGGAAUCCUUCUCUCCACUUUGGGCAAGUAGUGAACACUGCAGAUCCCUAAGAUACUUAAUGGUCCUCUAAGGAAACAGGAAGCUUUGUUUGGGAAACCAAAGCGUAUAAACAACUAAACGUCAAGUUGGGCAUCCAAACAAAACCUAUGAAAAGAACAUCUGUAGAAGAUCUUUAAAAUAGAGUCUUUGUCCUUUGAAUGGACAAUUAGAAGUCGGCACACUACUUGCUCCUGUCUCCGCACUAUACUUUUGUUCUGAAAAAGUGCCGCUUUUCACUUCUAAUAUUUCCUACACUUCUUCAAUAUCUUACCAUGCCUCAAAAUAACUCCACAGAAAGAACAGCAGACAGCAGGUUGCCUUGCUAACAUGAAGCGGUCACCUCUGAACCACACCUGACUUGUGAGGCUUUCAUUUCCUUGAUGUCAUGGUGGCAAACUGCUUGGUUGCCGGGUGAACAGUCGUGGUAACAGCUACAAACCUGACGGCCAGUUCUGAGAAAGCUCCUUCUGCCCUUGAGGGAACUUCCACAGGAACAUUAGCCAUUGGUUAAGUGAGAACCCAAGUUUUUAUCUUUAACUGAGAGCAGAAAGGCGGUAUCUCAGUACAUUCUUCACUUUCUAUCGCAUCUUUGAUGAGGAACAACCCACGCAUUGACCCCGGCUUUGGAAGACACAGCAUGGUUACUCUGCCACAUGUGUGUGCUGGGUCAUGCAGUCAUUCAAAUAAUGAUUACCCUGAAACAUAAAGGCAGCUGCAAUAAUGGGUUCUACUGAGGACCGGAUGAAAUCAAGGCAAACAUCCAGCU